CUCAAGGCUCAAUCUUGGAGUAUGACUCUAAGAUUUGAUUUGAAUCGAAGUAUGAUUUAUCUUUUGAUUUAACGAUUUCAAUAAUUCAUGAUUCCUCUCCUUAGAGAAUCAAUUGUGAUAUGGUUUCAUAAUAACUAAGAUAGUCAUAAAACAAAAUACUCAAGUACUCUCCCAUCUCUUCAGAUUGGAGAAACUUUUAACUUUCUGCCUUAUUUGAUUCUUCUUAUCCGUUAUGCCAUACAUUGAAACUUUUCCAAUGUUUCAGAAUUACACAUGAACUUGUAAGCAUAACCAUAUUUACUAAACUUUAGUAAAUCAUAAUGAAUAAUCUUAUCAACAUUUGUGGUGGACACGAUUAGCACAUAACAAAGUGUACCCAAUCCUUUAGUCCUUCACUUGACUCACAUGUACAUGUGAACAAGGAAUUAGUCUUACUUUCCUAAAGAUGAAAAAUUCUCAUUCAUCAUACAAAACAAGUUGCAUGAUUCCAAGUUUCUUGUAACACCGUGGUUUUCAAAGCAAAAUUUUUCAUUUAAAUAAUCAAUUUAAUAUUAAAACACUUGUUUAAAAUCUUAUUCAUAUUCGAAUUACAAAACAUAGUUCCAUUUUCAUUUGAAUAGACAACCAGGAUCCUCCAAAAUACAACUCUUUCCUCGGUGUGUACAAUCGAGCCGAUGCCAUUCCGCGUUACUGAAAGAACCUGAAACCACAUAACAUAAAUACUGUAAGCACGAAGCUUAGUGAGUUCCCCAAUAUACACUUACGCACAUACGCCUUUCCAGGCCCUGACCUUCCGGUCCUCAUUAUCACGCCUUCCGGCCCAUAACAUAAUCGCCUUCCGGCCCAUAACAUAUUGCCUUCCGGCCCACAUAACAUACAUAGCACAUAUAACAAAUAACUUACCACAUAUAGCAUACAUAUCACAUAACAUAUCCGACCUUCCGGUCACACAGUCAAACCCUUCCGGGUACAGUAUAGUGAGAAGACUCACCUCGCGGCCACUGGAAGAUAGCAACUCCUGAAAUCUCUUGCACUUGAUCCUCCGAGCUACAAGCUCCCUGUCUCAUCAUAUAUCUCUUUUUAAUACUUCUAUCUUCCACGUUAACUGACCCUAAAACGUUACACACAGGUCAACUCUGGUCAACGGCCAUCUCGACUGGACUCGGCGAGUACCCUGGCGACUCGGCGAGUCUAGUCGUCCUCACCAAUUCCUGCAUGAUCCCUUUCUACUCGUCGAGUAUCCCUCUUGACUCGACGAGGUCCUCGUGGAAGAAUCGCGGGGCCACCCCGACUCUACUCGCCGAGCCUGAAGAACAAACUCGGCGAGUCCCAGUGAAUCUUCAAGCUACUCGCCGAGUCUGAUCAUCCGACUCGGCGAGUCUACGCCAUGCAGUCGAUCGAACUGCUUCCUGAGAUACAUAUAUUCUCGAAUAUACAAACAUGGGACCUUCUGGACCUCUAAGGGUCCUAAUACAAGGUUAUAAACGUUGAAUAACAACACAACAAUCCAUCUAGACUCCAAAUGGGUUCCAUAAACCCUAAAUCUAUAUACACAUCAAUCACAGGAGAAUGUAAUCCGAAUUAUUACCUGAAUGAUGUACCUUCCAUGUCCCCAAACUUCAGAACUCGAACUCCCUGCAGUUCCUUUAGCUAAAACCCUUCUCCUCCUUGCACAACAAUUCCUUCAAGGUCACCAAUGGCCUUCAAGCUUGCUCUAGCCGCCCCAGUCGCCUAGGGUUCUUCCCAAUCGAUCCAAAGUCGUGAAAUGACGGCAUAAUAACCCUUAUAUACGACCCAAUACUGAACGGCUAGGGUUUCCGCUGAACAGCGUCGACUCGCCGAGUCCAUAUCUGGACUCGUCGAGUCCAGUCGUGAACCCGCGACCAAACCUGCGACCCUACUCGGCGAGUCUGGCUCCAACUCGUCGAGUCUCCCCUUUAAAACACCCCCAAAAUGCAACUUAACAAUACUUGAGAUUUUGGGCUGUUACAAUUCUCCCCCACUAGAAUUAGACUUCGCCCUCGAAGUCUCACUCUGAAAAUAGCUCUGGCUGCUGCUCCCGCAUCUCACGUUUCGGCUUCCCUAGACACUACCGAUCUCUCCCGAGGCCGCUACUGAACCAAUACCAGAGGUACCUCCUUGUUCCUCAGAACCUUGAUCUUCCGAUCUCCGACGGCCACUGGCCUCUCGACGUAACACAGGCUCGCAUCCACCUAAUCGUUCUCUAGUAGAACCACUGCUGACUCAUCCGCUAUACACCUCUUCAACUGCGACACAUACCAGUGUCAUGGAUCCGUCCCAAUUCCGUUGACAGCUCCAAACGAUAGGCCACCCUUCCUACCUUCGCACCUUCACGAAAAGACCCAACAUACCGGGGCCCCCCAUUUACCCCUCUUCCUAAAUCGAAGCACCCCAUCAGAAAUACGAAGUCGCUGACCUGAAUCACAUGCUCGUAACGGCGUCUGCCUGCAUAACUUUCCUGUUAACUCUAGACGAUCACUAACUCUCUUUAACCUGCUGAGUCUGCUUUGUCAACUAAAGUACGAACUCUGAACUGCUCAUCACUCUCUGUAAUCGGAAAUUACCCAAGAUGCACUCUGCUCCAAAUCUCAACGAUCACUCAACCCAUAAGGGUUAGGAAACCCUGAACCACCGGAUCCCCGAUCCAAAGCCCACUUUGCCCAUUCCGGACCGACUGAGAGAUCCGUUCUCCCUCUCAGAUCAACUCUCACAAGUUCCCUCUUGCCAUCACAUACACAUACUGAACUAGUCCCAACACCCGCAGGUGGAAAGACCCGAUACACUGAUGAUAUCCUCGAACAUCUCCCAAGAUGAACCACUACAUCCACCCUACACUCUGAUCAGAUUCACACUGAGAAUUUAAAAUUUUCUCUCUCCAUGCAUCCCUUCUGAGCCUCAACAGACAUCCCAACCGGAUGGGUUCCUACUCCACUGCCGCGAACACGAUGCUCAAAACCAUACUCGAAAUACUCUAACCAUAACUCUGCUCUGCAGCUUUCACUUUCGUGAACUUGCACCCCCUUCGGAGUUACAUACCCUCCUCUUUUCCUUUUCCACGGAACUCUCUUGAACAUAAUGCCACUCCAACCGGUGCCACGGUGCUCGCCCCAAGCGACACCACCCUUUUUGCGUAACUGCUAUUCACAUACUCUGGUUCUCAUUGCAGGGGCUCUCAAUCCCAUGCACUCUCUCCACUCAUCAAAAUCACUGCCUCCGCUAAACAAGAUCAAUAACCCGGGGCCAGACCUUCCAAUGCAAUCACACUGCAACAUACGCGAUCCGCAAAUCUCAAACUAAUCCAGCAAUACCAACAGAGUCUCCAGUAUGACUGGACCGACUCUCAUAACACAUACUAGCCACUCGAGGCUAUAUCUCUGUGGGUCCGUACACCCAAACUCUGCGAACCCUCAGGUUCUAACUCUGGGAACCUUCCGGUUCCAGCUCUAGAAACAUGCACAACAUAAUCCCGUGGGAUUAAUGCAGUACAACCCAUCACGUACCUCAAACGUACCAAUACUCUGAUCGCAAAAUUCCGAUUACUUACUCAAGCUUGAUCCCGACCUCCUCUCAGGCCUCCACAAUCAAAUGCCCUAGGUCUGUAUCUCGCCCCGCAUACUCAACACUCGCUCUCGUCGGCCUAUACUUUGCGCUGACAAACACUGCUGAAUCCCAACAGCUAAGCACCCUUACAUACUCAUCGAUCUCCCGGAGAAUUUUACAAUUCUCCCCCACUAAAGCACUGACUAACUGCCACCGAUCGUCAUUAACGACCUUUCAGAACCAUCCUGCACAAAGAGAACAUUUACCCACUGACUGCUUCCCACAAGCGUAAGCAACCCUCAGCAAAACACAUCUCCUCCCUGAUCAAUCCGCUCAAAAGAAUCCGAUCUUUCAAUUAUCCACUCCACAACUGCAGAUGCUACCCGUCAUUCAACCCAGUGCCGCAUCUCCACUAUCAACCCUCACGAACGAUGACCAACGGAAUUCCCAAGCAAUAACCCAUAACCAAACCCACAACCUGCCAAAGGUUGAAUAUCGCAUCGAAAACCGCACAAGGCUACCGGUACCAAAACACCAAACUAUAAUCAUACUAAACCAUCAGGGAACAACGAAUGCCAAGCGAAAACCUGAAGCACCAAUCCAUAACCAUGCCAAACCCGCGAAACAACGAAUACCGCAUCGAAAUCCACACCAGACACCAGCACAAACAAUACGCCACAAUCAACGCAAGCUACUCAAGACAUCAAGAGAGCAUCAUACCCGCAGCUGCCUCCGGCACUGCUCCGUCUCCCUCUGCCGCAAGCCGAUAAGCACGACCCUGAGCCCUUGGGCUCUGCUCCAUCCUGUCCUCCUCCUGAACUCCUCAAGGUGGCCGAUGCUAGAGCCUGCACCGGUCCUGCAGGAAACUGUGGACGGUUGACCCUCAAAUGUCCAACCUGCCGACACUGAUAACAAAUCCUGAAAUCCCGAAUUGGCACUGACUGCCGACAAUCCCGUGCACCAUGCCCCUCCUUUCCGCACUUGCGGCAUGCACCACUGGGCCAACAAGCUCCGGUGCCAUCUCUCUCACACUUCCCACAAGUGUGACCGCUCCGAUCCCCCAUUCUAACGUCUACGGUCAUGGACCGUUUCGGCGCCGACUGCGACUGCAUCGGGGCCUGCCUCAUCUCACGCAACUGCAACUCAACCUCUAACUCACGCCACAUGGCGGCCUCCUGCGAUACCAACACGGUCUCGCGCCUCUGCGCAGACACGAACUGUCUGAUACCCCCCCUUGAGCAUACUCGGAUAUCGGGACAUCUGAGCCUGCUCCGAAGCGAACUCAGGGCAAAACAUCGCCCUCUCAAUAAACAUCCCGGUGCUCUCAGUCACCGACUCCAAAUCCUGCUUCAGCUUAAGGAACUUCCGAGCCAAUUUCUCCUUUUCAUCCCGCGGAACAUAGCGAGUACUGAACAUCCCUCUGAAUUGAUCCCAUGAAACCGCAGCCCUCUGCGCAUCGGAAAAUGACCUCGUGGUCAAUCUCCACCAAUCCUUCGCCCCGAGCCUCAACAGGUUCAGAGCACACCCCACCCUCUGAUCAGCAGGGCAUAAACUCGUGGAGAAACACCCCUCCAUGUCUGAUAACCAUCUCAUAGCAACAAUCGAGUCCUGAACUCCAUCGAAUGUGGGAGGCUUCGCAUAAUAGAAGUCCCGAUACUGAAAACCCCGACUAGCCCCUUUCUUUGCCGUUGCUACAGCCGCUGUAACCGCCGCGGCAGCCGUCUCUGCGAAAGCCGCAUAUCGCUCAUCAAACUACUUCAAUCAUAGUGGUCCUGAUCGACCCAAACAAUUCUGGCGACUCAGCCCGCAACAAUGCAGCAACCUCAUCACGCAGGAUCUCGCGAAUCCUCGCAUCCCGCUCGCUCGUGCUCGUCCGAUCGAUAACCGGAUAACAAGAUAGCCACAAGCAUCAUCCACUACGAACCAUGGUACUCAUCCCAUGACAUCCCUCCUCAACAUGCUUCGGUGUAUGGUACCUGAACCAUAGCACCACUCCUCAAUCUGCUCCAAUGUAUAGCACUCGGACCACAACAUCUAUCUCAAUCUGUUCCGAUGUAUGGUGCCCGGACCAUAACAUCACUCUGUAUCCGCUCCGAUGUAUGGUAUCCGAACCAUAACAUCACCCCUCAAUCUGUUCCUUAGGACCUUCAGAAUGCCCCCUGUAUCAAGUAUGGGUCCUCUGCUUUCAGUAGUACGGGCCCAUACUACCUGCCACAUCUACCCAUACUUUCCACACGGACCAUCCCAGAGUUCCUAAGUAGCUGAUAAACCUGCUCUUUCACCCAUCUCAUCGCGCGUGCUCGCUUUCCAGCGAAAUCCUCUACUCUACCAGCGCACUCAUCUGGCUAGGUUUACUCCCUAGUCCCUUCCGCUGUCCUCCCACUUCUUUGCUAUCAGCUGCUGAAGAGUUCCUAAUGAUGCCAGCCCUCUACCUCCUGAGUAUCGUCAUACUCACUUAGUAGCUGACUCCCAUCAUCGAUAACUCCACAAAGCACAAAGCAAGCAGCAUUCGAGCAUUGAAGCAUACAUAGGACUCCCCAUCUGUGGUAGCUCCACCUUCUCGGCUCAUCCUCGGAAGUACCUCUGUACCCCGUAGCUUUACCCCUUGUGCGUUCUAACUAGAUACUCUCACUCAUCACAUACACACAAAAGCAUAACGCACAUAUAACAGCAAACCCUAGACUAAGGCAUCACAAAUCAGGCCACUCUAGUCCUAAGAUGUGAAAUACCUAGCCUGUCUCUAGCAUGCAAUAAUGUCUCAUAAAGUGCAUAAUAGAUAUUUCAUAAUACAAAAGUAAGGGUAUUUUGGGAAAUCACCGUUUGGCUCUGGCUGAUUGUACACACUGCUCUUUCUUGCUUUCUCUUUGAACUCUUAUUCACUUUUAGAAAACUAUUUAUUUGAAAACCUUUUCUUAAUUCCUCAGUUUGAGUCCAGACUCACCCGUAGGCGCGUCCGAAUCCCUCAAACCAAGGCUCUGAUACCAAUUGUAACACCGUGAUUUUCAAAGCAAAAUUUUUCAUUUAAAUAAUCAAUUUAAUAUUAAAACACUUGUUUAAAAUCUUAUUCAUAUUCGAAUUACAAAACAUAGUUCCAUUUUCAUUUGAAUAGACAACCAGGAUCCUCCAAAAUACAACUCUUUCCUCGGUGUGUACAAUCGAGCCGAUGCCAUUCCGCGUUACUGAAAGAACCUGAAACAACAUAACAUAAAUACUGUAAGCACGAAGCUUAGUGAGUUCCCCAAUAUACAACUUACGCACAUACGCCUUUCCAGGCCCGACCUUCCGGUCCAUGUGUCUCAGGGGACUUCCGUCCCUGCUGGGUAAACCUUCCGGCCUUACCCACGCCGACCUUCCGGUCCAUCACACAACAUAUCGCCUUCCGGCCCAUAACAUAUUGCCUUCCGGCCCAUAAUAUAAUCGCCUUCCGGCCCAUAACAUACAUAGCACAUAUAACAAAUAACUUACCACAUAUAGCAUACAUAUCACAUAUCAUAUCCGACCUUCCGGUCACACAGUCAAACCCUUCCGGGUACAGUAUAGUGAGAAGACUCACCUCGCGGACACUGGAAGAUAGCAACUCCUGAAAUCUCUUGCACUUGAUCCUCCGAGCUACAAGCUCCCUGUCUCAUCAUAUAUCUCUUUUUAAUACUUCUAUCUUCCACGUUAACUGACCCUAAAACGUUACACACAGGUCAACUCGGGUCAAUGGCCAUCUCGACUGGACUCGGCGAGUACCCUGGCGACUCGGCGAGUCUAGUCGUCCUCACCAAUUCCUGCAUGAUCCCUUUCUACUCGUCGAGUAUCCCUC
Molecule: long non-coding RNA, 7369 nt
Filed under: Lactuca sativa (garden lettuce)
Lineage: Eukaryota; Viridiplantae; Streptophyta; Magnoliopsida; Asterales; Asteraceae
Description: long non-coding RNA (LSAT_LNC004324)
Source: RNAcentral